RNAcentral lists this ribosomal RNA (1101 nucleotides) under Burkholderia sp. KU-28. Its description in RNAcentral is "bacterial SSU rRNA". It matches the Rfam family "Bacterial small subunit ribosomal RNA", at positions 20 to 1113 of the family's 1533-position model. Lineage: Bacteria; Pseudomonadati; Pseudomonadota; Betaproteobacteria; Burkholderiales; Burkholderiaceae. The record is from RNAcentral.
UGGCUCAGAUUGAACGCUGGCGGCAUGCCUUACACAUGCAAGUCGAACGGCAGCRCGGGGGCAACCCUGGYGGCGAGUGGCGAACGGGUGAGUAAUACAUCGGAACGUGUCCUGGAGUGGGGGAUAGCCCGGCGAAAGCCGGAUUAAUACCGCAUACGAUCUCRGGAUGAAAGCGGGGGACCGAAAGGCCUCGCGCUCAAGGGGCGGCCGAUGGCAGAUUAGCUAGUUGGUGGGGUAAAGGCCUACCAAGGCGACGAUCUGUAGCUGGUCUGAGAGGACGACCAGCCACACUGGGACUGAGACACGGCCCAGACUCCUACGGGAGGCAGCAGUGGGGAAUUUUGGACAAUGGGGGCAACCCUGAUCCAGCAAUGCCGCGUGUGUGAAGAAGGCCUUCGGGUUGUAAAGCACUUUUGUCCGGAAAGAAAACCUCCGUCCUAAUACGGUGGGGGGAUGACGGUACCGGAAGAAUAAGCACCGGCUAACUACGUGCCAGCAGCCGCGGUAAUACGUAGGGUGCAAGCGUUAAUCGGAAUUACUGGGCGUAAAGCGUGCGCAGGCGGUUCGCUAAGACCGAUGUGAAAUCCCCGGGCUUAACCUGGGAACUGCAUUGGUGACUGGCGGGCUAGAGUAUGGCAGAGGGGGGUAGAAUUCCACGUGUAGCAGUGAAAUGCGUAGAGAUGUGGAGGAAUACCGAUGGCGAAGGCAGCCCCCUGGGCCAAUACUGACGCUCAUGCACGAAAGCGUGGGGAGCAAACAGGAUUAGAUACCCUGGUAGUCCACGCCCUAAACGAUGUCAACUAGUUGUCGGGUCUUCAUUGACUUGGUAACGAAGCUAACGCGUGAAGUUGACCGCCUGGGGAGUACGGUCGCAAGAUUAAAACUCAAAGGAAUUGACGGGGACCCGCACAAGCGGUGGAUGAUGUGGAUUAAUUCGAUGCAACGCGAAAAACCUUACCUACCCUUGACAUGUACGGAAGUCUGCUGAGAGGUGGAUGUGCCCGAAAGGGAGCCGAUAACACAGGUGCUGCAUGGCCUGUCGUCAGCUCGUGUCGUGAGAUGUUGGGUUAAGUCCCGCAACGAGCGCAACCCUUGUCCCUA